This is a non-coding RNA of Caenorhabditis elegans, 21 nucleotides long. Lineage: Eukaryota; Metazoa; Nematoda; Chromadorea; Rhabditida; Rhabditidae. The record is from Ensembl.
UUGAAAUUCACAAAGCUGGAA